GCCCGCCUAGCUCAAUCGGCCAGAGCGUCAGACUUUUACGGCUUGGUGUCGCAAUCUGAAGGCUGCGAGUUCGACCCUCGCGGUGGGCU
This is a non-coding RNA of Fomes fomentarius, 89 nucleotides long. The record is from the annotation of a GenBank genome assembly. NCBI's taxonomy places the organism in Eukaryota, Fungi, Basidiomycota, Agaricomycetes, Polyporales, Polyporaceae.